Molecule: non-coding RNA, 35 nt
Submitted as: unclassified sequences
Source: Rfam
CAGGAGGAAGCUGAAAAUCCGUAAGAGAGUAGGCA